CCAACUUUCUCCGACAGUUGAAGUUGCAUAAAGAACAGUAGGUGGUGCUUCUCUUUUGCUACGAUGAGAUAGCUGACUUCAUCUAACUAGCAAAUGUUGUCCAGGCUACGUUGGUGAUACAGUUUUUUUUAGUGUGUAUGAUAUUUUUGUCAUGUGAUUUUAAAGCCGGUCCUACAAGCGCAUCCAAGAAUAACAUGCAGCUUAUCUCAGAACUGUCGGUGAAAAUUAUUCUUGGAGCUAAGUUUAAUUGAGCUGCAUUUUAUACAGGUGCAAUUUCACAAUUUGUGUAUAUUUUCCAAGUUCACUAUUUCGUCAUGUGUUGAGAAAAACAGAUUGAAAAAUUACAUGGUCUAAUAUUUACAUUUAGCAUAUAACUACAACAUUCUUUUUUUGUUUUUUUUUGUUUUUUUUAAGAGUCGAAAGGACUUGAAAUUCAAAGUUUCAGACUUGUGACUUUACUCGGACUUUUACACCAAUGACUUGAGACUUGACUCUGACUUGCCUGACAUUACUUGAGACUUGACUUGUGACUUGAGGAUAAAGACUUGAGACUUACUUGAGACUUGGAAAACAAUGACUUGGUCCCACCUCUGUUAAUAAGCAUCUAACUCCUCAGGAGAAACAGAGAAAGACAGACCAGCAUAGUAGGGAAAGCAGAACUUAGCAGCACAGCUUAAGGUGCACAGAGAGUUCAUUCAGAGGCCACCCACACAUAGAGGAAAUGAGGGUAUGUGCAGGGAAAAUAGAAAUAGAAUUUGGGGCAGAUAACUCUACAAGGAGGUGUUUUUAUUGAAACUGUGCAUGAAGAAGGGAGCAACAACACACUAAGAAAAACAGGAUAAUCUGAUGCUGAAUGAGGAACUCUGAAAGAAGUAUAAAUGUAACAGAUCCAGGGACCGCCCCUCGGAUCUGCUUAGGCUGUUAUGCUGUGCACAUCCCCUAUGUACAUGGUGAAAUAAAGAAUUGCUGAACUGAAUUGUUCUGUUUCGAGUUUCUUGUACCAGGUCAGGACCAAAGGAUCCAGGAGGGAAUCUGAAAUCCCAACAGAGAAUAAAUUGCGACUAGUCUCAAUGGCUGAUAUGGAGGAGCAACACAGCCACAUGUUAACCCCGACUGCUGAAGUUCCUGUAGGAACUGAACAACUCUGAAAAUCCAAGUAAAAGCUGAGUGUAUUUUAUUUAAAGCUCAGAUGGAACUUGAUGGACUAACAUGCUGCAUUCAGGACUUUAUGACACUGGUAAUAAGAGUGCUAAUGAGAGAGUGUGCACACACAAUGUGUCACUUGAUGCUUGCUCUUCUCCAGCCUCUGGUGUCACUUUGUAGUCAUUUGUCUUAUUAUUGUCUUAUUUGUUGUGAUUUAGGCUCUGUGGGCACAAGCAGAGGUUUUUGCUUGGGAAGUAACCAUGAGCUGGUUUUCAGGGGCUUCUCUAAUAUUUAGUGGACGUGAAAUAUGUCAAACUUUUUCCUCUGUGCAUUAAGGAUUUUGAACUAUGAUGUUUAAGUGUUGUCACUGCUGAGGAUUCGUGGACACAGAUCUUUAUUCACUACGCUGCUGUUUACAUUUAACUCUUCAUCAGAACAAGCUCUUCUAAUUGUACUUUGCUCCUCACUGUCUUUGAAAAGCAAGAGCUGACAAAACAAGUCCAGUAAAUGCACUUUUAUCUUUAAGUUUGGAACAGUAUUAAUCCAUUUGUGUUUUAUUUAUCAUAUGUGGAAAAGUCCAGUCAGCCCUGUGCAGAGAGGGCUGUGCUCAUCCAUCCGUCCUGCUCUAAUAAACCCAAAUUUCAGGAACACCUUCUUUAGGUCUGUUCAGCUUUAUUCAUGUAGCAUCACUUAAACAGUCAACAAAUCUUGACUCAAAGCACGUUAUAUUGUAAGGUAAAAAGCCCAAAGAGUUCAUCUCAGACAAAUGUUCACACAAAUGUGAAUUACAUUCACUUCAUUGAUGAAGUAAAUGCAAUUCAGUAAUCGAAGGUGUUUGGCUAUAACUGACUACAUGUGUAUACUGUAUCAUAAGUGGACAGACAUGGAUGUAAACCA
Long non-coding RNA from Oreochromis niloticus (Nile tilapia), 2040 nucleotides. RefSeq lists it as uncharacterized. Lineage: Eukaryota; Metazoa; Chordata; Actinopteri; Cichliformes; Cichlidae. The record is from RefSeq and is a predicted model, not a curated record. The transcript is spliced from 2 exons.